UGGGGAAUAUUGGACAAUGGGCGAAAGCCUGAUCCAGCCAUGCCGCGUGAGUGACGAAGGCCUUAGGGUUGUAAAACUCUUUCGUCGGGGACGAUAAUGACGGUACCCGAAGAAGAAGCUCCGGCUAACUUCGUGCCAGCAGCCGCGGUAAUACGAAGGGAGCUAGCGUUGUUCGGAAUCACUGGGCGUAAAGCGCACGUAGGCGGAUAGUUAAGUCAGGGGUGAAAUCCUGGGGCUCAACCCCAGAACUGCCUUUGAUACUGGCUGUCUCGAGGUCGAGAGAGGUUGGUGGAAUUCCUAGUGUAGAGGUGAAAUUCGUAGAUAUUAGGAAGAACACCAGUGGCGAAGGCGGCCAACUGGCUCGAUACUGACGCUGAGGUGCGAAAGCGUGGGGAGCAAACAGGAUUAGAUACCCUCGUAGUCCCUGAGCGGGCUGGCAAGGCGCAU
RNAcentral lists this ribosomal RNA (447 nucleotides) under uncultured bacterium. RNAcentral's name for it is "bacterial SSU rRNA". It matches the Rfam family "Bacterial small subunit ribosomal RNA", at positions 355 to 825 of the family's 1533-position model. The record is from RNAcentral.